UUUAUCGGUAUUAGCCUCAAGAUUAUCCAAAUACAUAGCCAAUUCUUCCACCUUUUGAAAUUUCGUUAGUUGAAAAAAGUUUUACCAAAAAUCGCCGAGUCAUUAGCGACAUACCUGUUCCUCUACGGAAGAGUCAACUACCAAAAUAAAAUCAGAGCCUUCCAUCUCUGUUAUUAAUACGAAUCUAGCAGACGAGAAAUGCAAAUAUUCGCUGUUAGUGGUAGUUGGAGAGUAGGACUUGGCACCUCCACCUCGUUCAAUGGUUAAAACGA
Non-coding RNA from Schizosaccharomyces pombe (fission yeast), 272 nucleotides. Lineage: Eukaryota; Fungi; Ascomycota; Schizosaccharomycetes; Schizosaccharomycetales; Schizosaccharomycetaceae. The record is from the annotation of a GenBank genome assembly.